Molecule: long non-coding RNA, 395 nt
Organism: Astyanax mexicanus (Mexican tetra)
Lineage: Eukaryota; Metazoa; Chordata; Actinopteri; Characiformes; Acestrorhamphidae
Exons: 3
Source: RefSeq, a predicted model, not a curated record
CGCCGUCCUGAGAGAGAGAGAGAGAGAGAGAGAGAGAGAGAGGUACAGAGAGAAAGAGCGAGAGAGGUACAGAGAGAGAGAGCGAGAGUGGUACAGAGAGAAAGAGCGAGAGUGGUACAGAGAGAAAGAGCGAGAGUGGUACAGAGAGAAAGAGCGAGAGAGGUACAGAGAGAAAGAGCAAGAGAGGUACAGAGAGAGAGAGCGAGAGAGGUACAGAGAGAAAGAGCGAGAGUGGUACACAGAAAGAGCGAGAGUGGUACACAGAGAAAGAGCGAGAGUGGUACACAGAGAAAGAGCGAGAGUGGUACACAGAAAGAGCGAGAGUGGUACACAGAGAAAGAGCGAGAGUGGUACACAGAGAAAGAGCGAGAGUGGUACACAGAGAAAGAGCGAGA